This is a small nucleolar RNA of Phyllostomus discolor (pale spear-nosed bat), 72 nucleotides long. RefSeq annotates it as small nucleolar RNA SNORD45. The record is from RefSeq and is a predicted model, not a curated record. Lineage: Eukaryota; Metazoa; Chordata; Mammalia; Chiroptera; Phyllostomidae. The transcript has a single exon.
GGUCAAUGAUGUCAUGGCAUGUAUUAGCUGAAUUCAAAGUUGAUGUCAGUUCUAAAAUUACACUGAGACCUU